RNAcentral lists this unclassified non-coding RNA (1362 nucleotides) under uncultured cyanobacterium. RNAcentral describes it as "bacterial SSU rRNA". The stretch from base 1 to 1067 matches the Rfam family "Bacterial small subunit ribosomal RNA", at positions 471 to 1533 of the family's 1533-position model. Lineage: Bacteria; Bacillati; Cyanobacteriota. The record is from RNAcentral.
GACGGUAACUGAAGAAAAAGCAUCGGCUAACUCCGUGCCAGCGGCCGCGGUAAUACGGAGGAUGCAAGCGUUAUCCGGAAUCAUUGGGCGUAAAGGGUCCGCAGGUGGCGAAUAAAGUCUGCUGUUAAAGACCGGGGCUAAACUCCGGAAAGGCAGUGGAAACUGAUUAGCUAGAGUACGGUAGGGGUAGAGGGAAUUCCCAGUGUAGCGGUGAAAUGCGUAGAUAUUGGGAAGAACACCGGUGGCGAAAGCGCUCUACUAGGCCGAAACUGACACUGAGGGACGAAAGCUAGGGUAGCGAAAGGGAUUAGAUACCCCUGUAGUCUUAGCGGUAAACGAUGGAUACUAGGUGUAGCUUGUAUCGACCCGAGCUGUGCCGAAGCUAACGCGAUAAGUAUCCCGCCUGGGGAGUACGCACGCAAGUGUGAAACUCAAAGGAAUUGACGGGGGCCCGCACAAGCGGUGGAGUAUGUGGUUUAAUUCGAUGCAACGCGAAGAACCUUACCAGGGCUUGACAUGUCGCGAAUCUAGCGGAAACGUUAGAGUGCCUUAGGGAAUGCGAACACAGGUGGUGCAUGGCUGUCGUCAGCUCGUGUCGUGAGAUGUUGGGUUAAGUCCCGCAACGAGCGCAACCCUCGUCCUUAGUUGCCAAUAUUAAGUUAGGCACUCUAGGGAGACUGCCGGGGACAACUCGGAGGAAGGUGGGGAUGACGUCAAGUCAGCAUGCCCCUUACGUCCUGGGCGACACACGUACUACAAUGGUUGGGACAAAGGGCAGCAAACUCGCGAGAGUAAGCGAAUCUCAUCAAACCCAGCCACAGUUCAGAUUGCAGGCUGCAACUCGCCUGCAUGAAGUAGGAAUCGCUAGUAAUCGCAGGUCAGCAUACUGCGGUGAAUUCGUUCCCGGGCCUUGUACACACCGCCCGUCACACCAUGGAAGCUGGCUACGCCCGAAGUCGUUACCCUAACCCGGUUUUGGGAGGGGGAUGCCGAAGGUAGAGCUAGUGACUGGGGUGAAGUCGUAACAAGGUAGCCGUACCGGAAGGUGUGGCUGGAUCACCUCCUUUACAGGGAGACCUAGUCUAAUUACCAAUAGAUAAAAAAGUUGGUAAUUCGCAAGAAUCCUUAGGUCGUGAGGGGAGCAAGAAAAAACUUUCAAACUGUAAUGGGUGAGGGUCAAUGGGCUAUUAGCUCAGGUGGUUAGAGCGCACCCCUGAUAAGGGUGAGGUCCCUGGUUCAAGUCCAGGAUGGCCCACCUAAAAUACACAGGCAUCCUGCCUGUGCCACAAAAAAAGGAAAAAGUUUUGGCAUUGUCUCUUGUAAUCAAGAGCAAGAGAUAAUGCUGGAAUAGAUUCCAGCAAG